RNAcentral lists this non-coding RNA (24 nucleotides) under Bombyx mori (domestic silkworm). The record is from RNAcentral. Lineage: Eukaryota; Metazoa; Arthropoda; Insecta; Lepidoptera; Bombycidae. RNAcentral also lists the same sequence under 12 other names.
GCCCGGAUAGCUCAGUCGGUAGAG